Molecule: ribosomal RNA, 492 nt
Filed under: uncultured bacterium
Lineage: Bacteria
Description: partial 16S ribosomal RNA
Rfam family: Bacterial small subunit ribosomal RNA
Source: RNAcentral
AGUGAACGCUGGCGGUAGACCUAACACAUGCAAGUCGAACGGCAGCACAGUAAGAGCUUGCUCUUACGGGUGGCGAGUGGCGGACGGGUGAGGAAUACAUCGGAAUCUACUUUUUCGUGGGGGAUAACGUAGGGAAACUUACGCUAAUACCGCAUACGACCUACGGGUGAAAGCAGGGGAUCUUCGGACCUUGCGCGAUUGAAUGAGCCGAUGUCGGAUUAGCUAGUUGGCGGGGUAAAGGCCCACCAAGGCGACGAUCCGUAGCUGGUCUGAGAGGAUGAUCAGCCACACUGGAACUGAGACACGGUCCAGACUCCUACGGGAGGCAGCAGUGGGGAAUAUUGGACAAUGGGCGCAAGCCUGAUCCAGCCAUACCGCGUGGGUGAAGAAGGCCUUCGGGUUGUAAAGCCCUUUUGUUGGGAAAGAAAAGCAGCAGGUUAAUACCCCGCUGUUCUGACGGUGCCCAAAGAAUAAGCACCGGCUAACUUCGUG